Molecule: unclassified non-coding RNA, 1050 nt
Filed under: Leishmania donovani
Lineage: Eukaryota; Euglenozoa; Kinetoplastea; Trypanosomatida; Trypanosomatidae
Description: gene:unknown
Source: RNAcentral
GUCACUAAGAAGAGCACUUGAAUCUUGUCGAGCGAAAUCGCUCUUUUUCUCUCGAUCACGUUUCGCUGAGAUCCGCUCCUUCCCCUCACCCCCUUAUACGCCCACCACAUCCGCAGCAACACCAUGUUCCUCGGUGGUUUCGUGCCGCGCCGCUUCGCGCAGUUCAACCGCGAUCCGUGGUGGAUGUUUUUCAUCUUCGCGAUCGGAGCCUGGGCUGGCGAGUACCCGGCUAUGCAGAUCAAGUACAACGCCCGCGACUUGGUGCUAGACCCCCACCGCUACGUGUGGUCACACCUGGACGAUCACCACUAACGCAGACAAGCAGUUCCUGACCACUCGCACGCUUUCCCUCUUUCAGCCCUAUAGCACGUUUCUCUCUCCGUUAUGGCAACUGCCAUGGUCAUGACCUGGACUGCAUGAAAAGGGGCGCGGAGGAGUCGAAGAUGAUGGCGACGUGGUGGGACACCAAGAGAGACAUGACAGACACCCACAUAUGCGUACUCUGGCGUGACGAUAUUGUUCAGACCCCCAACCCACCCACACAAACACACGCACAUACGUACCCUCAAGCGGGUUCUCAUGAUAGCAGUAGUUAGUAGUCCCUCUUCUUACCUCCUCCCCCCACCCCUCCCAUUUUCUCUCGUAAAGUAAACGGACAACAACGAAAAUGGAAUAAAAAGUGCCGGAAAGGGCCUUCGAGGGCAAAUACAUUGCAGUGACACACUGGCACCACCGUGCGCAGACAAGGGCGGGGGCGCACACGGCGGGCUACGAAAGGCACGCGCAAGCCUCGCUGCAGCGCCCUAGUCGUUUGCGUGUGUGUGUAUGUGUGCCUUCGCGGGAGAUCGACGUGGCCUCGCGUCUUCCACACUCUGCUUGCGCUGACUCGGCCUCCCAACCGCCACCUCGUGCUUCACCUUUUUCGUUCAUGAGUCUUGGCUGAUGAGCACAGAGAACGGAAUGGGCGAAGGCGCUGGGAGUGGCAAAGCAGUGUGAGGAGUUGCCAGCGGCUCUGCUUGUAGCCUUUUUUUUGCCGUAAGGCGGCCCUCG